RNAcentral lists this ribosomal RNA (443 nucleotides) under uncultured bacterium. Its description in RNAcentral is "bacterial SSU rRNA". It matches the Rfam family "Bacterial small subunit ribosomal RNA", at positions 339 to 797 of the family's 1533-position model. The record is from RNAcentral.
CUACGGGAGGCAGCAGUGAGGAAUAUUGCACAAUGGGCGCAAGCCUGAUGCAGCAACGCCGCGUGAGGGACGAAGGCCUUCGGGUCGUAAACCUCUUUUCUGGGGGAAGAGAUCAGGACGGUACCUCAGGAAUAAGUCUCGGCUAACUACGUGCCAGCAGCCGCGGUAAAACGUAGGAGGCGAGCGUUAUCCGGAUUUACUGGGCGUAAAGCGCACGCAGGCGGCUUCGUGAGUCGGAUGUGAAAGCUCCUGGCUUAACUGGGAGAGGCCAUUCGAUACUGCGGGGCUUGAGGUUGGGAGAGGGGUGUGGAAUUCCCGGUGUAGUGGUGGAAUGCGUAGAUAUCGGGAGGAACACCAGUGGCGAAGGCGGCACCCUGGCCCACACCUGACGCUGAGGUGCGAAAGCGUGGGUAGCAAACAGGAUUAGAUACCCCUGUAGUCCC